GAGAGUUGAUCAUGGCUCAGAACGAACGCUGGCGGCGCGUCUUAAGCAUAGCAAGGUCGAACGGCAAGAGGUAGCAAUACCUCCUAGAGUGGCGGACUGGUGAGUAACACGUAGGGUGACAUACCCGUCAGAUGGGGAUAGCUAUUAGAAAUAGUAGAUAAUACCGAAUACGAGCACAGGGGUUAGAGAUCUGUGAGGAAAGGAGCUAAGGCUCCGCUGAAGGAAUGGCCUGCGGCCCAUUAGCUAGUUGGUGAGGUAAGAGCCCACCAAGGCGAUGAUGGGUAUCCGGCCUUAGAGGGUGAACGGACACAUUGGGACUGAGAUACGGCCCAGACUCCUACGGGAGGCAGCAGCUAAGAAUAUUCCGCAAUGGACGAAAGUCUGACGGAGCGACGCCGUCCGUGGAUGAAGAAGGCCGGAAGGUUGUAAAAUCCUUUUGAAACUGAAGAAUAAGCGUUGUAGGGAAUGACAGCGUGGUGACAGUAGGUUUUGAAUAAGCAACGGCUAAUUACGUGCCAGCCGCGGC
Molecule: ribosomal RNA, 526 nt
Filed under: uncultured bacterium
Lineage: Bacteria
Description: bacterial SSU rRNA
Rfam family: Bacterial small subunit ribosomal RNA
Source: RNAcentral